UACGUAGGGUGCAAGCGUUAAUCGGAAUUACUGGGCGUAAAGCGUGCGCAGGCGGUUGUGCAAGACCGAUGUGAAAUCCCCGGGCUUAACCUGGGAAUGGCAUUGGUGACUGCACGGCUAGAGUGUGUCAGAGGGGGGUAGAAUUCCACGUGUAGCAGUGAAAUGCGUAGAGAUGUGGAGGAAUACCGAUGGCGAAGGCAGCCCCCUGGGUUAACACUGACGCUCAUGCACGAAAGCGUGGGGAGCAAACAGG
RNAcentral lists this ribosomal RNA (253 nucleotides) under uncultured bacterium. RNAcentral's name for it is "partial 16S ribosomal RNA". It matches the Rfam family "Bacterial small subunit ribosomal RNA", at positions 524 to 776 of the family's 1533-position model. The record is from RNAcentral.